RNAcentral lists this ribosomal RNA (468 nucleotides) under uncultured bacterium. RNAcentral's name for it is "partial 16S ribosomal RNA". It matches the Rfam family "Bacterial small subunit ribosomal RNA", at positions 28 to 507 of the family's 1533-position model. The record is from RNAcentral.
GACGAACGCUGGCGGCGUGCUUAACACAUGCAAGUCGAACGGAAAGGCCCUGCUUUUGCGGGGUGCUCGAGUGGCGAACGGGUGAGUAACACGUGAGUAACCUGCCCUUGACUUUGGGAUAACUUCAGGAAACUGGGGCUAAUACCGGAUAGGAGCUCCUGCUGCAUGGUGGGGGUUGGAAAGUUUCGGCGGUUGGGGAUGGACUCGCGGCUUAUCAGCUUGUUGGUGGGGUAGUGGCUUACCAAGGCUUUGACGGGUAGCCGGCCUGAGAGGGUGACCGGCCACAUUGGGACUGAGAUACGGCCCAGACUCCUACGGGAGGCAGCAGUGGGGAAUAUUGCACAAUGGGCGGAAGCCCGAUGCAGCAACGCCGCGUGCGGGAUGACGGCCUUCGGGUUGUAAACCGCUUUCGCCUGUGACGAAGCGUGAGUGACGGUAAUGGGUAAAGAAGCACCGGCUAACUACGUG